This 64-nucleotide transfer RNA is filed under the name Anadara antiquata. RNAcentral describes it as "tRNA-Thr". Lineage: Eukaryota; Metazoa; Mollusca; Bivalvia; Arcoida; Arcidae. The record is from RNAcentral.
GGUGCCUUAGAACAUAGAUUCAGGGCGUUUGUGGCGCCAAAAUGUUGUUAAUAUACAGGUGCCG